CUACGGGUUGCUGCAGUGGGGAAUAUUGGACAAUGGGCGCAAGCCUGAUCCAGCAGUGCCGCGUGAGUGAAGACGGCCUUAGGGUUGUAAAACUCUUUCGCCAGGGAAGAUAAUGACUGUACCUGGUAAAGAAGUCCCGGCUAACUCCGUGCCAGCAGCCGCGGUAAUACGGAGGGGACUAGCGUUGUUCGGAAUUACUGGGCGUAAAGAGUUCGUAGGCGGACUGACAAGUUAGAGGUGAAAUCCCAGGGCUCAACCCUGGAACUGCCUUUAAAACUGUCAGUCUAGAGACCGGAAGAGGUUAGGGGAAUACCUAGUGUAGAGGUGAAAUUCGUAGAUAUUAGGUGGAACACCAGUGGCGAAGGCGCCUAACUGGUCCGGUACUGACGCUGAGGAACGAAAGCGUGGGGAGCAAACAGGAUUAGAUACCCUCGUAGUC
RNAcentral lists this ribosomal RNA (439 nucleotides) under uncultured bacterium. RNAcentral's name for it is "partial 16S ribosomal RNA". It matches the Rfam family "Bacterial small subunit ribosomal RNA", at positions 339 to 795 of the family's 1533-position model. The record is from RNAcentral.